GUGUUCGCAUUGGGAGCACAUAUUCUAAAAUUAGAAUAAUAAGAAAAGUCUAACACGGCCCUUGCGCAAGGAAGACACGCAAGUUGGUGAAGCGUUCCAUAUGUUU
This is a small nuclear RNA of Fukomys damarensis (Damara mole-rat), 106 nucleotides long. Lineage: Eukaryota; Metazoa; Chordata; Mammalia; Rodentia; Bathyergidae. The record is from Ensembl.